UUAUUGAUUUGCAUGUCAGAUUAGUUCGAUCAUUUAUCAUCCGGAGAGUUCUGAUUCUGAUUUAAUGGCGAUUUAGGUUUAGAUUGAAUCACUCAAUUUAGAGUUUUAUUCUUCUGGGAUUUGAUUGUUGUGUUUGUAUGGCAGAUUGUUCGCAAACCAGCUCACUUGUUCCUUGACGAGAUUGGUGUUGCUUACGAUGAGCAAGACAACUACGUUGUGGUUAAGCACGCUGCUCUGUUCACAUCUACAAUCAUGAGCAAGCUUUUGGCUCGUCCUAACGUGAAGCUCUUCAACGCCGUGGCUGCUGAGGAUCUGAUCGUGAAAGGAAACAGAGUUGGUGGUGUGGUGACUAACUGGGCUCUUGUGGCUCAGAACCACGACUCACAGUCGUGCAUGGACCCUAACGUCAUGGAGGCCAAGAUUGUGGUGAGCUCUUGUGGACAUGAUGGUCCUUUUGGAGCCACUGGUGUCAAGAGGUUGAAGAGCAUUGGCAUGAUCGAUCAUGUUCCUGGGAUGAAGGCUUUGGACAUGAACACUGCUGAAGACGCUAUUGUGAGAUUGACCAGAGAGGUUGUUCCUGGUAUGAUUGUGACCGGUAUGGAAGUUGCUGAGAUCGAUGGUGCCCCAAGAAU
This 632-nucleotide long non-coding RNA is filed under the name Capsella grandiflora. Its description in RNAcentral is "long non-coding RNA (CGRA_LNC000419)". Lineage: Eukaryota; Viridiplantae; Streptophyta; Magnoliopsida; Brassicales; Brassicaceae. The record is from RNAcentral.